Molecule: ribosomal RNA, 460 nt
Filed under: uncultured bacterium
Lineage: Bacteria
Description: partial 16S ribosomal RNA
Rfam family: Bacterial small subunit ribosomal RNA
Source: RNAcentral
CCUACGGGUGGCAGCAGUGUGGAAUAUUGGUCAAUGGGCGCGAGCCUGAACCAGCCAAGUAGCGUGAAGGAUGACUGCCCUACGGGUUGUAAACUUCGUUUAUAAAGGAAUAAAGUGAGGCUCGGGUGCCUUUUUGUAUGUACUUUAUGAAUAAGGAUCGGCUAACUCCGUGCCAGCAGCCGCGGUAAUUCGGAGGAUCCGAGCGGUAUCCGGUAUUAUUUGGUUUAAAGGGAGCGUAGAUGGGUUGUUAAGUCAGUUGUGAAAGUUUGCGGCUCAACCGUAAAAUUGCAAUUGAUACUGGCAGCCUUGAGUACAGUUGAGGUAGGCGGAAUUCGUGGUGUAGCGGUGAAAUGCUUAGAUAUCACGAAGAACUCCGAUUGCGAAGGCAGCUUACUAAGCUGACACUGACAUUGAUGCACGAAAGUGUGGGUAUCAAACGGGAUUAGAUACCCGAGUAGUC